Molecule: ribosomal RNA, 497 nt
Filed under: uncultured bacterium
Lineage: Bacteria
Description: partial 16S ribosomal RNA
Rfam family: Bacterial small subunit ribosomal RNA
Source: RNAcentral
GAUGAACGCUGGCGGCGUGCCUAAUACAUGCAAGUCGAGCGAACAGAUGAGGAGCUUGCUCCUCUGACGUUAGCGGCGGACGGGUGAGUAACACGUGGAUAACCUACCUAUAAGACUGGGACAACUUCGGGAAACCGGAGCUAAUACCGGAUAAUAUAUUGAACCGCAUGGUUCAAUAGUGAAAGACGGUUUUGCUGUCACUUAUAGAUGGAUCCGCGCCGCAUUAGCUAGUUGGUAAGGUAACGGCUUACCAAGGCAACGAUGCGUAGCCGACCUGAGAGGGUGAUCGGCCACACUGGAACUGAGACACGGUCCAGACUCCUACGGGAGGCAGCAGUAGGGAAUCUUCCGCAAUGGGCGAAAGCCUGACGGAGCAACGCCGCGUGAGUGAUGAAGGUCUUCGGAUCGUAAAACUCUGUUAUUAGGGAAGAACAAAUGUGUAAGUAUCUAUGCACGUCUUGACGGUACCUAAUCAGAAAGCCACGGCUAACUACGUG